Molecule: long non-coding RNA, 337 nt
Organism: Monodelphis domestica (gray short-tailed opossum)
Lineage: Eukaryota; Metazoa; Chordata; Mammalia; Didelphimorphia; Didelphidae
Source: RefSeq, a predicted model, not a curated record
UGUGUGUGAGAUUGUGAUCUAUAGGUAAUGAGGUGUAUUAUAGUAGGGACAGUGUAUGUCUGUAUGUGGCUUGUGUGCCUGUGUUAGUGGUGUGUGUAUUUGUGUCUAGGUGCUGUAGGAGUGUUUCUAUGUUCACAGGAAUGAUCAAGUCAUGAGUGCAGAGAUGAGUCCACCUGGGUUACCCAUGCCAGACUAUGAAUCUCUCCCUCCCACUGUCCAUCCUGCAAGCCUCUGACUGAGUAAUCUUCCUAGCACAGAGUUCCAAUCAUCUCAUUCUCCUGUUUAAAAAUCUGCAAUGGCUCCCCAUGGCCUUCCAAAUAAAGAAUGAAUUCAUUGA